AACGAACGCUGGCGGCGUGCCUAACACAUGCAAGUCGAACGUGAUUAGAGAGCUUGCUCUCUAUGAAAGUGGCGCACGGGUGAGUAACGCGUAGAUAAUCUACCCCUAUAUACGGAAUAACUGACCGAAAGGUUAGCUAAUACCGUAUGUGUUCUGGAUAUAGCGAUAUAUUUAGAGUAAAGGAGACCUCUCUUGGAAGUUUCUGUAUAGGGAUGAGUUUGCGUACCAUUAGCUAGUAGGUAGGGUAAUGGCCUACCUAGGCGACGAUGGUUAGCGGGUCUGAGAGGAUGAUCCGCCACACUGGAACUGGAACACGGACCAGACUCCUACGGGAGGCAGCAGUGAGGAAUAUUGCGCAAUGGGGGCAACCCUGACGCAGCGACGCCGCGUGGGUGAUGAAGGCCUUCGGGUUGUAAAGCCCUGUCGGGUGGGAAGAAGUGCUACAUUACUAAUAAUGAUGUAGUUUGACGGUACCACCAAAGGAAGCACCGGCUAAAUCCGUGCCAGCAGCCGCGGUAA
This 519-nucleotide ribosomal RNA is filed under the name uncultured bacterium. RNAcentral's name for it is "partial 16S ribosomal RNA". It matches the Rfam family "Bacterial small subunit ribosomal RNA", at positions 29 to 523 of the family's 1533-position model. The record is from RNAcentral.